GAUGAACGCUAGCGAUAGGCCUAACACAUGCAAGUCGAGGGGCAGCAUAGAGUAGCAAUACUUUGAUGGCGACCGGCGCACGGGUGAGUAACACGUAUGCAACCUACCUACAUCAGGGGAAUAACCCGGAGAAAUUCGGACUAAUACCGCAUAAUACAGGGAUGCCGCAUGGCAAUAUUUGUUAAAGAUUUAUCGGAUGUAGAUGGGCAUGCGUUCCAUUAGCUAGUUGGUGAGGUAACGGCUCACCAAGGCAACGAUGGAUAGGGGAACUGAGAGGUUUGUCCCCCACACUGGAACUGAGACACGGACCAGACUCCUACGGGAGGCAGCAGUGAGGAAUAUUGGUCAAUGGACGAGAGUCUGAACCAGCCAAAUCGCGUGAAGGAAGACUGCCCUACGGGUUGUAAACUUCUUUUGUACAGGAAUAAAAGACAUUACGUGUAAUGUAUUGCAUGUACUGUACGAAUAAGCAUCGGCUAACUCCGUGCCAGCAGCCGCCGUAA
This 503-nucleotide ribosomal RNA is filed under the name uncultured bacterium. RNAcentral describes it as "partial 16S ribosomal RNA". It matches the Rfam family "Bacterial small subunit ribosomal RNA", at positions 28 to 523 of the family's 1533-position model. The record is from RNAcentral.